Molecule: transfer RNA, 74 nt
Organism: Phenylobacterium sp. Root1277
Lineage: Bacteria; Pseudomonadati; Pseudomonadota; Alphaproteobacteria; Caulobacterales; Caulobacteraceae
Rfam family: tRNA
About the family: Transfer RNA (tRNA) molecules are approximately 80 nucleotides in length. Their secondary structure includes four short double-helical elements and three loops (D, anti-codon, and T loops).
Source: Rfam
CGCGGGGUGGAGCAGCCCGGUAGCUCGUCAGGCUCAUAACCUGAAGGUCACAGGUUCAAAUCCUGUCCCCGCAC